RNAcentral lists this long non-coding RNA (582 nucleotides) under Salmo salar (Atlantic salmon). RNAcentral describes it as "lncRNA (ENSSSAG00000110545.1)". Lineage: Eukaryota; Metazoa; Chordata; Actinopteri; Salmoniformes; Salmonidae. The record is from RNAcentral.
GAUCUUUGUGGGCUAUACUCGGCCUUGUCUCAGGAUGGACCUGAGCCCUAGGCCCAUGCCUCAGGACUACCUGGCAUGAGGACUCCUUGCUGUCCCAAGUCCACCUGGCCAUGCUGCUGCUCCAGUUCCAACUGUUCUGCCUGCGGCUAUGGAACCCUGACCUGUUCACCGGACGUGCUACCUGUGCCAGACCUGCUGUUUUCAACUCUCUAGAGACAGCAGGAGCGUCCACCUGGCCGUGCUGCUGCUCCAGUUUCAACUGUUCUGCCUGCGGCUAUGGAACCCUGACCUGUUCACCGGACGUGCUUGUUGCACCCUCGACAACUACUAUGAUUAUUAUUAUUUGACCAUGCUGGUCAUUUAUGAACAUUUUAACAUUUUAACAUCUUGACCAUGUUCUGUUAUAAUAUCCACCCUGCACAGCCAGAAGAGGACUGGCCACCCCUCAUAGCCUGGUUCCUCUCUAGGUUUCUUCCUAGGUUUUUGGCCUUUCUAGGGAGUUUUUCCUAGGGAGUUUUUCCUAGCCACCGUGCUUCUUUCACAUGCUUUGCUUGCUGUUUGGGGUUUUAGGCUGGGUUUCUG